GGGGAAUAUUGGACAAUGGGCGAAAGCCUGAUCCAGCCAUGCCGCGUGAGUGAUGGAGGCCCUAGGGUUGUAAAGCUCUUUUGUGCGGGAAGAUAAUGACGGUACCGCAAGAAUAAGCCCCGGCUAACUUCGUGCCAGCAGCCGCGGUAAUACGAAGGGGGCUAGCGUUGCUCGGAAUCACUGGGCGUAAAGGGUGCGUAGGCGGGUUUCUAAGUCAGAGGUGAAAGCCUGGAGCUCAACUCCAGAACUGCCUUUGAUACUGGAAGUCUUGAGUUCGGGAGAGNUGAGUGGAACUGCGAGUGUAGAGGUGAAAUCCGUAGAUAUUCGCAAGAACACCAGUGGCGAAGGCGGCUCACUGGCCCGAUACUGACGCUGAGGCACGAAAGCGUGGGGAGCAAACA
This 401-nucleotide ribosomal RNA is filed under the name uncultured bacterium. Its description in RNAcentral is "bacterial SSU rRNA". It matches the Rfam family "Bacterial small subunit ribosomal RNA", at positions 356 to 774 of the family's 1533-position model. The record is from RNAcentral.